UGGGGAAUAUUGGACAAUGGGCGCAAGCCUGAUCCAGCCAUGCCGCGUGAGUGACGAAGGUCUUCGGAUUGUAAAGCUCUUUUUACCAGGGACGAUAAUGACGGUACCUGGAGAAUAAGCCCCGGCUAACUUCGUGCCAGCAGCCGCGGUAAUACGAAGGGGGCUAGCGUUGUUCGGAAUUACUGGGCGUAAAGCGCAUGUAGGUGGUUGCAUAGGUUUGAUGUGAAAGCCCCGGGCUUAACCUGGGAAUGGCGUUGAAGACUGUGGAACUAGAGUCGGACAGAGGGUCGUGGAAUUUCCGGUGUAGCGGUGAAAUGCGUAGAGAUCGGAAAGAACACCAGUGGCGAAGGCGGCGACCUGGGUCCAGACUGACACUGAGGUGCGAAAGCAUGGGGAGCAAACAGGAUUAGAUACCCCAGUAGUCCCUGAGCGGGCUGGCAAGGCGCAU
RNAcentral lists this ribosomal RNA (448 nucleotides) under uncultured bacterium. RNAcentral's name for it is "bacterial SSU rRNA". It matches the Rfam family "Bacterial small subunit ribosomal RNA", at positions 355 to 825 of the family's 1533-position model. The record is from RNAcentral.